AGAGUUUGAUCCUGGCUCAGGAUGAACGCUAGCGGCAGGCCUAAUACAUGCAAGUCGAACGGCAAGUUGAAUAGCAAUAUUUGACCUAGAGUGACGUACGGGUGCGUAACACGUAUGCAACCUACCCAUAACUGGAGGAUAGCUCCCCGAAAGGGGAAUUAACCCUCCAUAGUAUAAUUGAGUGGCAUCACUUGAUUAUUAAAACUCCGGUGGUUAUGGAUGGGCAUGCGUCUGAUUAGUUAGUUGGCGGUGUAACGGACCACCAAGACGAUGAUCAGUAGGGGAACUGAGAGGUUGAUCCCCCACACUGGCACUGAGAUACGGGCCAGACUCCUACGGGAGGCAGCAGUAGGGAAUAUUGGUCAAUGGAUGCAAGUCUGAACCAGCCAUGCCGCGUGCAGGAAGAAGGCCCUAUGGGUUGUAAACUGCUUUUGCCAGGGGAUAAAAUGAGCUUGCGAGCUUAAUUGAAGGUACCUGGUGAAUAAGCCACGGCUAACUACGUGCCAGCAGCCGCGGUAAUACGUAGGUGGCAAGCGUUGUCCGGAUUUAUUGGGUUUAAAGGGUGCGUAGGCGGUCCUAUAAGUCAGUGCUGAAAUAUCCCGGCUUAACCGGGAGGGUGGCAUUGAUACUGCAGGACUUGAGUAAGGUUGAGGUUGGCGGAAUUGACGGUGUAGCGGUGAAAUGCUUAGAUAUCGUCAAGAACACCUAUUGCGAAGGCAGCUAACUAAGCUUUAACUGUCGCUGAGGCACGAAAGUGUGGGGAUCAAACAGGAUUAGAUACCCUGGUAGUCCACACUGUAAACGUUGAUUACUCGCUGUUGGCGAUACACAGCCAGCGGCUUAGCGCAAGCGAUAAGUAAUCCACCUGGGGAGUACGCCGGCAACGGUGAAACUCAAAGGAAUUGACGG
RNAcentral lists this ribosomal RNA (909 nucleotides) under uncultured bacterium. RNAcentral describes it as "bacterial SSU rRNA". It matches the Rfam family "Bacterial small subunit ribosomal RNA", at positions 8 to 916 of the family's 1533-position model. The record is from RNAcentral.